This 397-nucleotide ribosomal RNA is filed under the name uncultured Rimostrombidium. RNAcentral describes it as "partial small subunit ribosomal RNA". It matches the Rfam family "Eukaryotic small subunit ribosomal RNA", at positions 30 to 432 of the family's 1831-position model. The record is from RNAcentral. Lineage: Eukaryota; Ciliophora; Spirotrichea; Choreotrichida; Strobilidiidae.
GCUUGUCUCAAAGAUUAAGCCAUGCAUGUCUAAGUAUAAAUGGUAUACAGUGAAACUGCGAAUGGCUCAUUAAAACAGUUAUAGUUUAUUUGGUAUUCGAAUUUACAUGGAUAACCGUGGUAAUUCUAGAGCUAAUACAUGCAUUACGCCUGACUUUUCGGAAGGGCAGUAUUUAUUAGAUAACAGACCAAUAUUCCUCGUGUCUAUUGUGGUGAAUCAUAGUAACUAAUCGGAUCGCAUGGGCUAGUCCCGCGACAAACCAUUCAAGUUUCUGCCCCAUCAGCUUUCGAUGGUAGUGUAUUGGACUACCAUGGCUUUUACGGGUAACGGAGGAUUAGGGUUCGAUUCCGGAGAGGGAGCCUGAGAAACGGCUACCACAUCUAAGGAAGGCAGCAGG